GAGUUUGAUCGUGGCUCAGAUUGAACGCUGGCGGAAUGCUUUACACAUGCAAGUCGAGCGGCAGCGCGGGGCAACCUGGCGGCGAGCGGCGAACGGGUGAGUAAUGCAUCGGAACAUGUCCAUGUCGUGGGGGAUAGCCCGGCGAAAGCCGGAUUAAUACCGCAUACGCCCGAGAGGGGAAAGUGGGGGACCGCAAGGCCUCACGCGAUUGGGUUGGCCGAUGUCCGAUUAGCUAGUUGGUGGGGUAAAGGCCUACCAAGGCGAUGAUCGGUAGCUGGUCUGAGAGGAUGAUCAGCCACACUGGGACUGAGACACGGCCCAGACUCCUACGGGAGGCAGCAGUGGGGAAUUUUGGACAAUGGGGGCGAACCCUGAUCCAGCCAUUCCGCGUGAGUGAAGAAGGCCUUCGG
Molecule: ribosomal RNA, 410 nt
Filed under: uncultured beta proteobacterium
Lineage: Bacteria; Pseudomonadati; Pseudomonadota; Betaproteobacteria
Description: bacterial SSU rRNA
Rfam family: Bacterial small subunit ribosomal RNA
Source: RNAcentral